AAAGGCACUACAUGGCAUAACACUACUGCAGUCUUUGCACAACACCAUAUGGUAAAAAGUGACGCACUAUAACAAGUUCCAAGCAGCAAAACUCACGGCAAGCAAGCAGCAAAACUCACGACAAGCAAGUAGCAAAACCCACAGCAAAGCACAACAGCAAGCACACAACAAGGAUGUGAAUUGUUAAAAAAAUACACAUCCAAUUGUCCUAUAAAUAUGGGUCAAUUGCUUCCUAAUGCUAUAAGGGAAAUACAUACUCAAAUAGCAAAAGGAAAAUCAAAACAAGGAAGCACAUUCCAACCAAAAGAAGUAAGCAAAUUCCAAGCAAAAAAUGGCAAGUUUAAGCCAAUCUGCACAAGCAGGACAUUUUUGGUGAUAAUUCGACUUUCCAGAGGAAUUUUGAUGCAAGGCCAAUUGGAGAAGGAAGCUAAGAGGCUGAUGAUUGUUGUAUCAUAAUUUCAUAAUUUUCCGUAAAGCCAAACAUUCCAGUUUUCAAAGUUAAUCUCGUAGAAGUUGUUUUCCUUUUAGAACUGUGCAGCUGUAGGAAAAUGACAAGUUGAAGGCUUUCCAGAUUUUUCCUAGUGGUGUGCGAUAUAUUCAUGAAAAGAUAAGAGAUAAAGCUACGUUUUUCAUAUUUUUUACAGAAUUUUCCAGAAGAGAAAUCGACCUCAAACUUGGCAUGCAAGUCAUAUGACAUGUUUCCCAAACCAACAAGGGAAAUACAUGCUGUUUUUGCAACAAAAAUCAGCGAAGAGAAGAAAAGGAAACAAGAAAAAAGAAGAAGAAAGGGCUUCAAAAUUUCCAAAACAACAAAGGAAAGAAUCCCUCCUUGUCGUGGAAACAAAAGGGGAAAGGAAAAAGUCCCUCCUUGCUGUGGAAAACAAAAGGGGAAAUGAAAAACACCCUCCUUGCCAUGGAAGGAAAGAAAAGGAAAGGAAAAAAAUGUACAUCCUACUUACCUAAGGACAAGCAUUAAAUCUUUCCAAAACCUUGAAGGAAAUCACCCAAGCUUUCCAAUACUUUGAAGGAAAUCACCCUCAUUACCAAAUAUAUUUUGUAAAAAAAUUAUGGAAAAUCAAUAUGCACAAUAAGUAUGUGCCGAUUUAUUCCUUUCCAAAAUUUCUUUCAAGAUCAAGCCUCUAUGGCCCUUGAAGAAAAAUUUCAUUUCUUUCAAGAUUAAGCCUCUACGGCCCUUGAAGAAAAAAAAUCUCAUUUCUUUCAAGAUCAAGCCUCUACGGCCCUUGAAGAAAAUAAAAUUUCAUUUCUUUCAAGAUCAAUCAUCUACGGCCCUUAAAGAAAAAUUUCGUUUAAUUCAAGACCAAGCCUCAACGGCCCUUAAAGAAAUAUUUCGUUCAAGAAAUACGCCUCAACGGUGUUGGAAGUAUGCCCACAAAGCCACUCAUUUGAUGUAAUAGCUUUUGGAAUACUUAUUGUGUUAAACUAUUAUAUGUUUAAUGAAGGGCAAAUCUAGUUAAUCACUAUUUAUUGUAUUAUGUGUUUAAGCAAUAAGGGAAUCCAAUGAAUGUAUUUAAUCUAAGAAAGAAGUGAUCUAAGUAAGUUAGAUUAACGAGACCUUUCUCUUAUGUUCAUUCCUAAAACAUUCCUAGCCAUAGAAUUGCCAAUUGGGCAUUGACAAUCCGCUAAGGUUAGUAUGUGUUAUGUUAACUCAAGCGUGAGUAUGACUACUCUCAAGUCCUUUAGUGUUGGACACUAAGACAAACACAUAGGUGCUCAAAAGGUAAUCGAGUACACUGAACUACGAUCAAAAGAGAGUUCAAACAUACAUGUCAUGUAAGAACUUGUAAGUUGCAAUAUGCAAAGUAGUCAUUUGACAUGAGAGAUCAUAUAUGUCUAAUGGUUAGGCCCUUGAUCUUUGCUCAUGUCAAAGGCAUUCCAUCGAGAGUGUCCACGACAUUGUUAGGGUCAAGCUAUCUAGUCAUGUAGGCAUAUGAGUGCACAACAAGAGAUCUCUAACCUUCCAUGGUGGAGGGAGAGUACUCUGAGAUAUGAUUCGGGAGUCUUUGGCCAAAGCAUACGAAUAUGACUUAGGAAGUUUGUUCCAAAUCAUAUUCAAUUGAAUCAUAUAGAGAAGUAUCACAUUAGAUAGUAGACAUGAAUCAAACUAUCACUCAAACAAUGUGAUUAAAAGUAUUAUUUUAGAGAAUAAUUGUAUUGCAUUGUAAUUGUAACUGGAUAGGUUCUCCAACCACUUCUACUUAGCUUGGGUAGCCAUGACAUACUGUUAGGUGUCACUUAUGGUUUGUGGAAGCCCUAAAGAUUAGCAACACUAAUCUUCAUCAAAGGGAGAAUUGAAAUGAAGUUUCAAUUCACAAUCGAUUGUUAAGAGUAACAAUCGCCCACUGCCUUGGUAAUUGGAACCUAAUGGAUCGUACACCGAGUAAGGAUGAAAGUGAAGAAAUAUAAAUGAGAUGGAUAAGCAAUUAAAUGGUUUAAUUGAGAAUGGUCAAUAUUAAUUAAUUAGUUAAUUAAUUAUAUGAAGGGUUCGUAUUAGGCUUUCAAGUGAGUUUUGGCCAAAGCCCAUUAUGUUUAAGUUGUAUGACAACUAAAAUAAAAUUCAUCUUCACACCUCAUCCUUGGUGUGGAGACUUAGAGACACCAAACUUUUGGUGUUCUUGGAGUUCCUCUCCUCAAAUCCUCAAGGAGCAAAGGAGAAGCAAAGAAGCAACCAUCCAAAGGAGUAAAGGAGGUGACUUGAAGCUCUUCCACUUGGGUGAAUCCCUUGUGUAAACAAGGAUGAGCUUCAAGAGUAAUGAAAGUCAAACUCUCUUUUCUCUUUAAUUUGUUAAAGAGUUUUUGGUUUACCAUUCACUAGGCUUUGAAAGUCAUGGGUUUUUAGAAUUGUUUUUUAAUGCAUGCCUACUUUAAAAUGUUAUUAGUUUGCUCAUAUGUUCAAAUGUUCUCACAUGUUCUUAGAUAGGACAAAUUUUUUCCUUCAAACGGCCUUUGACGAAAUUCAUCACUUCAAUUCAAGACCAAGCCUCAACGGCCCUUGAAGAAAUGUUUCGUUCAAGAAAUACGCCUCAACGGCCCUUGACGAAAUUCAUCAUGUCAAUUCAAGAAAUAAGCCUUUACAGUCCUUGAAUAAGCAAACUAAUUCAAGAUCAAGUCUCAAUGACCCUUAAGUUAGAACAUUCACAUUACAAGACUUCAAAACACGUUUCCUACAUGUGACAAGCACAUGCCUACAAUGUGCCUUGAAGUGGGGGCAUUUGUAGACAUGUAAAUUUCAUUGCAUGCAAAUGAUGCAUCACAAAACUCCAUGUGGCAUAUGACUCAUCACAAAUGGACAAGUCAUCAAUGACAUAUGACACAAAUCAAGCAAAGGAAGCUCAAAAUCAUUCCCCAAAAGUGGGCAAAAGGGAGAAAAUCCCCCUUAAAAUCGGCAAGGGGUCCAAAUUACUCCCAAAACUAAAAAGAAAGCUAAAGCAUCUUCACAAAACAAGCAAGAAUGAAAGAUUGCUCACAAAAUAGGUAACAAGCCUAUAAUUUGGCAGGGUAAGGGAAAAUGGCUGAAAUUAAGACACAAAACAUGCCUAAAUUCUCUCAUGGACGAAUCAAGACACAAAUCAAAGUCAAAUCCACCCAAAGGCAUGGCUUUGGAAGUCUAUAAAUACAAGGUCCCAAGACAAGUAUAAGGUUGACAAUUUCUACAUUGAAGGGCCGAAAAUUCUACAUUCAAAAGAACCUCUAUACAAAUCUUUGAAGACUGAUACGUUGCAUUAGUUGAUUAGUUAAUUAGUUGUAAUUUAGUUCGGUGAUUAGUUUUUGGAUGAUACUGGAAUAUUUGAUUGCUGUUGAAAUUAAAUUUACACAUACAUGGAUACUCUCUUUCACGUGGUAUCCGCCAAAACAUGUCUGCAACUUAAAUUUACACCGACAUGUGGAUAGUGAGCUUUUUAAAAGUAGUUUUUUUAUUUGGACCAAAAGAUAAAAAAAUAGUAUGAGUCACAUGAAAUGGAAGAUUGCAGAAUCAUUUACGCAUAUGAUUUUGAGUAGGCAAUGAACAUCUCAGAGCCUUAUCUCUGGCUCAUAAUUACAAUUAUGUUAUGUAAGUCUUGAUGAUGUUGUGGUCUCCAUUAAACUUAGGCUAUGAUUUUUAUUUUUAUUUUUAUUUAUUUCUGCUUUAUUGUGUGACUUGUUGUGGUCUCUAUCCCAGAGCUAUAUAUAUCAUAUAGCUUCUGUUGUUGUUGUGGUCUCCAUUGAACUUUGUGUCUUGUUUUCUCUAUCAUUCGGUCAUGCUUUAAUAUUA
RNAcentral lists this long non-coding RNA (4270 nucleotides) under Malus domestica (apple). RNAcentral describes it as "long non-coding RNA (MDOM_LNC004757)". Lineage: Eukaryota; Viridiplantae; Streptophyta; Magnoliopsida; Rosales; Rosaceae. The record is from RNAcentral.